GCAUAUCAAUAAGCGGAGGAAAAGAAACCAACAGGGAUUGCCUCAGUAACGGCGAGUGAAGCGGCAAGAGCUCAAAUUUGAAAUCUGGCCCCUUUGGGGUCCGAGUUGUAAUUUGUAGAGGAUGUUUCGGGUACCGCCUCGGUUUAAAUUUCUUGGAACAGAAUGUCAGAGAGGGUGAGAAUCCCGUCUUGGACCGGUGGUAGGGCCCGUGUGAAACUCCUUCGACGAGUCGAGUUGUUUGGGAAUGCAGCUCAAAAUGGGUGGUAAAUUUCAUCUAAAGCUAAAUAUUGGCCAGAGACCGAUAGCGCACAAGUAGAGUGAUCGAAAGAUGAAAAGCACUUUGAAAAGAGAGUUAAACAGUAUGUGAAAUUGUUGAAAGGGAAGCGCUUGCAACCAGACUUGUGCGCGGUGGUUCCCCUAUCCUUUUGGAUGGGUUACUCCGCCGCGUCCAGGCCAACAUCGGUUCUGGGGGUCGGUCAAAGGCCUUGGGAAUGUAUCUACCCUUCGGGCGUAGACUUAUAGCCCUUGGUGUCAUGCGACCUCCCGGGACCGAGGAACGCGCUUCGGCUCGGAUGUUGGCGUAAUGGUUGUCAGCGACCCGUCUUGAAACACGGACCAAGGAGUCUAACAUCUAUGCGAGUGUUUGGGUGUCAAACCCGGAACGCGGAAUGAAAGUGAACGGAGGUAGGAAGCUUCGGCUGCACUAUCGACCGAUCCUGAUGUCUUCGGAUGGAUUUGAGUAAGAGCAUAGCUGUUGGGACCCGAAAGAUGGUGAACUAUGCCUGAAUAGGGUGAAGCCAGAGGAAACUCUGGUGGAGGCUCGCAGCGGUUCUGACGUGCAAAUCGAUCGUCAAAUUUGGGUAUAGGGGCGAAAGACUAAUCGAACCAUCUGGUAGCUGGUUCCUGCGA
Molecule: ribosomal RNA, 909 nt
Filed under: Rhinocladiella anceps
Lineage: Eukaryota; Fungi; Ascomycota; Eurotiomycetes; Chaetothyriales; Herpotrichiellaceae
Description: LSU rRNA
Rfam family: Eukaryotic large subunit ribosomal RNA
Source: RNAcentral